This 253-nucleotide ribosomal RNA is filed under the name uncultured bacterium. RNAcentral's name for it is "partial 16S ribosomal RNA". It matches the Rfam family "Bacterial small subunit ribosomal RNA", at positions 524 to 776 of the family's 1533-position model. The record is from RNAcentral.
UACGUAGGUGGCAAGCGUUGUCCGGAAUUAUUGGGCGUAAAGCGCGCGCAGGCGGUCCUUUAAGUCUGAUGUGAAAGCCCACGGCUCAACCGUGGAGGGUCAUUGGAAACUGGGGGACUUGAGUGCAGAAGAGGAAAGCGGAAUUCCACGUGUAGCGGUGAAAUGCGUAGAGAUCCGGAGGAACACCAGUGGCGAAAGCGGCCACCUGGACUGCACCUGACGCUGAAACGCGAAAGCUAGGGGAGCGAACGGG